AUCCUUCUGUAGCUCAUCAGCUUGAGGGCUGCGUUUUCAUGCGCAUGCGUGAGAUGUGCCGCGCCCAGAUCUUGUCCUGACGUCGGCACCGCACCGCCUGACG
Small nucleolar RNA from Otolemur garnettii (small-eared galago), 103 nucleotides. Lineage: Eukaryota; Metazoa; Chordata; Mammalia; Primates; Galagidae. The record is from Ensembl.